UACGGAGGGUGCAAGCGUUAUCCGGAUUCACUGGGUUUAAAGGGUGCGUAGGUGGGCAGGUAAGUCCGUGGUGAAAUCUCUGAGCUUAACUCAGAAACUGCCGUGGAUACUAUUUGUCUUGAAUGUUGUGGAGGUGAGCGGAAUAUGUCAUGUAGCGGUGAAAUGCUUAGAUAUGACAUAGAACACCAAUUGCGAAGGCAGCUCACUACACAAUUAUUGACGCUGAGGCACGAAAGCGUGGGGAUUAAACAGG
Molecule: ribosomal RNA, 253 nt
Filed under: uncultured bacterium
Lineage: Bacteria
Description: partial 16S ribosomal RNA
Rfam family: Bacterial small subunit ribosomal RNA
Source: RNAcentral